GAGAAGAUGCAGACGACAACAUAAAGACUGACGAUCUCGAGAGGAUGGGGAAGACAUCGCAAAGACUCACAUGGACUAUUCACGGGUGCUUUGCUGUGAUGCGGACCGCGCUAAGACAUAAAAAAGUGGAGACGUGAUAAGAAUGGGUUGGAGAUUGUGAGAGAGACAUCCCACGUUCUCCUCGCGAGCCAGAAGUUCCUCUCAUCUUCUUUCCUUGAGAAAUUGUACUCUAAAUAUCCUGCACUGCUCAAACCUGACAUUGCCCUUCAAUUUGUUGUCUCAUGGUCACAAUGUGAUCUGGUGAUCAAACAUUUAUAAGGUUUCGCCGUUCCAACAGCCCUCUGAGGGAACUCGUAACAACAACCCGGCCGAGACAAAAAUGAUUUUGACACGCCUGGUCUAAAGGGUACCGACAGAGCGGAGGGAGCCCAAAUGGACAAUUCCCGGGAGUGUCUUUUUCCCAAAUAGAGUGGAAUUUGCACAGCCGUCUCCCUGCGGGAUGAUUUGCUGUCAGGCGCCAUAUCUGGGCAGAGUCACCUCCAGUUAAAGUUACAUGAUGGACGACGGGGCAAUCAGAUCCACUUUCCGAUACCAUGAGAAGCGUCUGCAGCGCGGGAAGAAUUACUGCGCGUACGACAGACGCGAAAAGCGCGGACUGCCAUUUUCUCGACGCCAUUGCGCGCUGAAUAAAGGUUCACGGCCUCUCGAUGUGCGCUGGAGAUCAUCGAGGGCAGUGAUUCCCAAACAGUGCGCCGGGGGACAUUGGUGUGCCGUGAGGGCUUUUCAGGUCCACAUUAAGUAUGGGGGGUCCCACCUGUCCUGGCGCCCCCGGCCGACCCUGAGCGGCGGGUCAUUUGGCGGCGAGGUGGUCCUCGCUGGGCUACAGCCGACGACGGUGCGCACAGUGUGAAACGAUGCAUUAGGCUGGCACCCCCCUGCCCCCGUCCCGAAUGGCGGGCUGGACGCGCGGCGGCUUUAACGGCGACCACCGCGCUUCCCUUUGGCUCCAUGUGUGGUCCUCCACCGGACGACAAACCUUCUUCUUUUAGAGACAAACAACACACACACACACACACGUUGUACGUGUGUUGAGUGUAUAAACAUGUCCAUGUUGGUGAAUGUUUUGGGCGUCUUUAAAGAGGCCUAAAAAGACAACUUGAGUUGAACGCAAUCUCGAUAAACGACAAACAGAUUACGUUAAACUUGAAUAUCCGUCAAGUGCUGUACGAUACACUUUCGAAAAUGGGAAGUGUACUGCAUCAGCUCAUUCUAAUAUUUUGGGGUCCAAAUAUUAGAAUCCGCCCAUAAUAGAGCACAAGCAAAUUCCACAAUCAUAAUGAUCGAUCAACAAGAAAUGCUAAGUAGAUUUCCUUCAUGGGAUCUAAAUAGAGUACGCAAAAAGCAUUAGUACAACCCUUACUAGCACCAUAACGAUCAAUAAAAUUAAUAAUAACAAUUAAUAUAAUUCUGGAUCCAAAAGAGGACCCCUGAGAGCCGUCAGCCCAUUUCCAUUCCUUUAUUUAUUCAUUUUUGGCCCCGUUUCUGCCAAAUGUGCCUUGCCCAAAGGUCGGUAGUAACAGCUAAAUUUACUUUGUUACUUUAGGAACUUUUUAAUUGAAUUGUAUUUGUCAGAGGAAUUGUAAGGCAACAUACUUUUUACUUUUACUCGCAAAUUGUCCGUUUGGUGGGGGUUGUGAGAGGCUGUGAUGUUUGUAAAAUUAUUUGAAGACCAUUUCUCGUGCCUGAAUGUUCUUUAAUUCAUGUUAAAAAAAAAUGGGAUCCAUUGUUAAAAUUCACGUCAUGUCGGGUAUUAUCUGAAGUAUUUUAGAUUUUUUGUCUAUUUGACAUUCAUAGUAAUUUAAAAAAAAAUUGAAACUAGCUACCCCGUUUGAGUACUUUUUCAUUGAGUACUUGAGUACAAAUAGAUGUUGUUUUUUUUUAACCAAAGUAUCAACCCAAAUGAGUACAAGCGCUGUAAAAUACAGCGGUGAAAGUAUUGUGUACUAAUGAAGUAUACUGUAUUUAGAAGGAGAUACGCAUUAUGGGUAAAAGAAGGUCCAAGUUGUAUAUUUUGUAUGGCGACGGCUUUCUGAUAUCGCGCAACCUGAUCGGGGGGGCCGCUGCACGUCACUUUCACGCAGCGUGACUAAGCCUCCAGUAACCGAAGCCCCGGCCCACCGGCGUCCCCGCGGACCUCGGCCUUCGCGUCCGACACGCCGCAGAAACAGCCCCCGCACACACACGCACACCCUCCCCCCUAAAAAAAACCCCAGUGCGGCCCGCGGGGACCUUGUGGAAGCAAACAGUGAGGUCAUCUCCGGGCUCUCAUCAGGCCAGCCAGGAUUACGCGAGCUGGCCCGGAUGCAAAAAGGGAGAGUGAACUUGGAUUAAGUCAUUAAAGCGCAGACUCCUGCAGCCCAGGGGCCUGCUUACCAUCACACAGGCAACUUCAACGCACGCUUGUCUUUUCACUACCUGUACCCCACUCUUACGCUGUAGUUCUUGCCACUGGACCUGAAAAAGGUUCCGCACAACAUCUCCAGCAAUAUCCCCAAAGAAUGACAUACUUGUUACCAGCGAUAAUUCCAGGAACUCUGUGUUCUUAGUUACUUUGAGCUUCCUUAUCCCUAAAGGUUUCUCUCUUAAGUCCUCGUUCUAACAGCAGCACUUCUUUCCCGUGGUCCGAAUACAAAAAUGGUCCUUCAAAGUUACUAAUUCUCGAGUAAAGUUAUUGUAGUCAAAAAGCGCUAUACGCGACGCAUAAACAGUCCUGGUCUGCAACGCUCAUCCAAAAGUUUCGAGUUCUGGGGUGAGGUUCAUGCAGUUGAAAUGUGCAACAAGUAACACACGAGUGUAGCCUGCAACUACAUUUAGAGACUCCUAAAGAAGCGUUAAUAUUCCUUGAGUCCACGAUAGAGACUAGUUUCUGCGGAUGUUCCCCAAAGGUUUUUAGUUGCAGGGGUCAACGUGCC
Syngnathoides biaculeatus (alligator pipefish) is the source of this 2972-nucleotide long non-coding RNA. RefSeq lists it as uncharacterized. The transcript has 3 exons. Lineage: Eukaryota; Metazoa; Chordata; Actinopteri; Syngnathiformes; Syngnathidae. The record is from RefSeq and is a predicted model, not a curated record.